This 329-nucleotide long non-coding RNA is filed under the name Chlamydomonas reinhardtii. Its description in RNAcentral is "long non-coding RNA (CREI_LNC001256)". The record is from RNAcentral. Lineage: Eukaryota; Viridiplantae; Chlorophyta; Chlorophyceae; Chlamydomonadales; Chlamydomonadaceae.
CACACACCUACUGGAAACCUCAACAGCCAGGUGACACCACACACCUACUGGAGUUCUCAACAGCUAGGUGACAACUACAGCCACUGCCUUGACCACACAGAUCAUCUAGAGCUCUCCAGUUGACAGGCCCAGAGCUCCACUUGAAUCUUGGAUCUUGAACUUGAAAGCUCUCCAGUUGCAGGCCCAGAGCUUCAGCCUUGUACCCCAGAGACUCCCUGCACCACAGGGGGGGUCUACACACCACCAAGGUGUGGAUGGGUUUUGGUAAACCAGGGCCCUUCCUGGUGGGGUGACCGGGAUUCGAACCCAGGAUCUCUCAAAGCCUUAAC